Molecule: non-coding RNA, 3792 nt
Organism: Chlamydomonas reinhardtii
Lineage: Eukaryota; Viridiplantae; Chlorophyta; Chlorophyceae; Chlamydomonadales; Chlamydomonadaceae
Source: Rfam
GGUCAAAUGAAUUAAGGCGUACGGUGGAGACCUAGGCACUCAGAGACGAAGAAGGGCGCAGAUACCGGCGAUACGCUUCGGGGAGCUGGCAACAAGCUUUGAUCCGAAGAUUCCCGAAUAGGGCAACCUCAUAGAACUACCUAUAUAAUUCAUAGUUAGGUAAGAGGCAACCCAGUGAACUGAAACAUCUAAGUAGCUGGAGGAAAAGAAAGCAAACGCGAUUCCCGUAGUAGCGGCGAGCGAACCGGGAACAGCCUAAACCUAUGUCGCAAGAUGUAGGGGUCGUGGGAGGACAACAUAAAAAUCGCUAUUUUUAAUACGAAGCAGCUGAAUCCUGCACCAUAGAUGGUGAAAGUCCAGUAGUAAAAAGAAAAUUUAGAUUUUUGUCUAAUCCCGAGUAGCAUGGGGCACGUGAAAUCCCGUGUGAAUCAGCGAGGACCACCUCGUAAGGCUAAAUACUCCUGAGUGACCGAUAGCGAAAUAGUACCACGAGGGAAAGGUGAAAAGAACCCCUGUUGGGGAGUGAAAUAGAACAUGAAACCGUAUGCUGACAAGCAGUGGGAGCAAGAAUGCUUGUGACCGCGUGCCUGUUGAAGAAUGAGCCGGCGACUUAUAGGGAGUGGCUGGGUUAAGGAGUAAAAUCCGGAGCCCAAGCGAAAGCGAGUCUGAAUAGGGCGCAAAUGGUCACUUCUUAUGGACCCGAACCCGGGUGAUCUAUUCAUGGCCAGGAUGAAGCUUGGGUAACACCAAGUGGAGGUCCGAACCGACCGAUGUUGAAAAAUCGGCGGAUGAGCUGUGAAUAGGGGAGAAAUUCCAAUCGAACUCGGAGCUAGCUGGAUCUCCCCGAAAUGCGUUGAGGCGCAGCGGUAACGAUGAACUGUCUUGGGGUAAAGCUACUGUUUCGAUGCGGGCUGCGAAAGCGGUACCAAGUCGUGGCAAACUCAGAAUACAAGACAUGUCUUCCGUAAACCAGUGAGACAGUGGGGGAUAAGCUUCAUUGUCAAGAGGGAAACAGCCCAGAUCACCAGCUAAGGCCCCUAAAUGGUCACUAAGUGGAAAAGGAUGUGAGAAUGCUGAAACAACCAGGAGGUUUGCUUAGAAGCAGCCACCCUUCAAAGAGUGCGUAAUAGCUCACUGGUAAAGCGUUCUUGCGCCGAUAAUGGCCGGGACUAAGUGACCUGCCGAAGCUGUGAUAUAAUUUAUUAUAUAAAUUAUAGGUAGGGGAGCGUUCCGCUCUCGGGUGAAGUUUUCACGUAAGUGGGGAUGGACGAAGCGGAAGUGAGAAUGUCGGCUUGAGUAACGAAAACAUUGGUGAGAAUCCAAUGCCCCGAAAACCUAAGGGUUCCUCCACUAGGUUCGUCCAUGGGGGGUUAGUCAGGACCUAAGACUAGGCCAAACGGCGUCGUCGAUGGAAAACAGGUUAAUAUUCCUGUACGAGUUAAAUUAUGAUCUGAGGGACGAAGGAGGCUAAGCUAGAACUGUUUUUGGAUUGCAGUGGAAGCGUUUAGACGUUGAGAGAUAGAAAAAAAGCUAUCUUGAGUGGAGACGUGAUCCCUAUUUGAUGGUUCGCCGUCGAGUAGCUAGUGAUGUCAUACUUCCAAGAAAAGCUCAUACAUCUUUAUAAUUUAAUGACCUGUACCUGAAACCGACACAGGUAGGUUGGUAGAGAAUACCAAGGGGCGCGAGAGAACUCUCUCUAAGGAACUCGGCAAACUGGCCCCGUAACUUCGGAAGAAGGGGCACCCAUCCGUAACAAGGUGGGUCGCAGUGACCAGGCCCAGGCGACUGUUUACCAAAAACACAGGUCUCCGCAAAGUCGUAAGACAAUAUAUGGGGGCUGACGCCUGCCCAGUGCCGGAAGGUUAAGGAAGUUGGUUAUUUCGUAAGAAAAAAGCUGACGACCGAAGCCCCGGUGAACGGCGGUCGUAACUAUAACGAUCCUAAGGUAGCGAAAUUCAUUGUCGAGUAAGUUUCGACCUGCACGAAAGGCGUAACGAUCUGGGCGCUGUCUCGGAGAGAGGCUCGGUGAAAUAGACUUGUCCCGUGAAGAUGCGGACUACCUACACCUGGACAGAAAGACCCUAUGAAGCUUGACUGUAUCUUGGAAUUGGGUUUGGGCUUUUCUUGCGCAGCCUAGGUGGGAGGCUAUGAAGAUUACCUUCCGGGGUAAUUAGAGCCGUCAUUGAGAGACCACUCUGGAAGAGCUAGAAUCCUAAUGGGGAUCCUUGAAUCAGGACCCUUGACAGUUUCAGGUGGGCAGUUUAUUUGGGGCGAAUGCCUCCUAAAAGGUAACGGAGGCGUGCAAAGGUUCCCUCAGUCUGGACGGAAAUCAGACAUUGAGUGUAAAGGCAAAAGGGAGCUUGACUGCAAGACCUACAAGUCGAGCAGGGGCGAAAGCCGGCCUUAGUGAUCCGACGGUGCCGCGUGGAAGGGCCGUCGCUCAACGGAUAAAAGUUACUCUAGGGAUAACAGGCUGAUCUUCCCCAAGAGUUCACAUCGACGGGAAGGUUUGGCACCUCGAUGUCGGCUCAUCACAUCCUCGGUCUGUAGUAGGUCCGAAGGGUUGGGCUGUUCGCCCAUUAAAGUGGUACGUGAGCUGGGUUCAAAACGUAAAUAACACUGCGUGUGCUUGCAGUAAUGUAAGCAAAGUAUCGGCUUAUAUCGGUGAAACCUUCCUAUUGUUUUAAGUACAAACUGUCGCAUAAACCACAUUCGUGGGCAAUAGAUGGCAACGCCGAGGGAAGACCAUUUCUUUUUGGUUUAAUAAUUCAAUAAAUUAAAUAAAACAUCUUAUGAAUACAAAAUAUAAUAAAGAGUUCUUACUCUACUUAGCAGGGUUUGUAGACGGUGACGGUAGCAUAAUCGCUCAAAUUAAGCCUAAUCAGUCUUAUAAAUUUAAGCAUCAGCUAUCACUCACGUUCCAAGUCACGCAAAAGACACAGAGACGUUGGUUUUUAGACAAAUUAGUGGAUGAAAUUGGGGUUGGUUAUGUAAGAGAUAGGGGUAGCGUUUCGGAUUAUAUUCUAAGCGAAAUCAAGCCUUUGCAUAAUUUUUUAACACAACUACAACCUUUUCUAAAACUAAAACAAAAACAAGCAAAUUUAGUUUUAAAAAUUAUUGAACAACUUCCGUCAGCAAAAGAAUCCCCGGACAAAUUCUUAGAAGUUUGUACAUGGGUGGAUCAAAUUGCAGCUCUGAAUGAUUCGAAGACGCGUAAAACAACUUCUGAAACCGUUCGUGCUGUGCUAGACAGUUUAAGUGAAAAAAAGAAAUCGUCCCCGUAGAGACUUUAUAAAUUUAGCCAAUCUCUAAAAGAAUGUUUACAUACAAUUUAUUUAUUGUUGCUCGAUUUAUAGGAUAUUUUCUCGAGAGUGGGAAAGUAUAAUACGCCGACUCCUGCCAUUAACAGUAGCAGGAUGAAGACAUAGUCCAUGCCUUUACGAAAGUAAAGGGGUUAGUUUUAAAGACCGCAAGUUUUAUUCGGCUUUAAAAUUUCAUGCGUGAGACAGUUUGGUCCAUAUCCGGUGUAGGCGUUAGAGCAUUGAGAGUAGCCUUUCAUAGUACGAGAGGACCUGAAAGGACAUGCCAAUUGUGUACCAGUUCUCAUUCCAAUGGGAAACGCUGGGUAGCUACGCAUGGAUAGAUAACUGCUGAAAGCAUCUAAGUAGGAAGCUAAACUCAAGAUGAGUGCUCUCUAAGGCCGCGGCUAGACAAGCCGUUAUAUAGGUAUCAGGUGUACAGUCAGCAAUGGCUUUAGCCGAGAUAUACUAAAGGCCGUUUGAUUUUGACCUU